Molecule: ribosomal RNA, 605 nt
Filed under: uncultured bacterium
Lineage: Bacteria
Description: bacterial SSU rRNA
Rfam family: Bacterial small subunit ribosomal RNA (bases 1-516)
Source: RNAcentral
CCUACGGGAGGCAGCAGUGGGGAAUCUUGCGCAAUGGGCGAAAGCCUGACGCAGCCAUGCCGCGUGAAUGAUGAAGGUCUUAGGAUUGUAAAAUUCUUUCACCGGGGACGAUAAUGACGGUACCCGGAGAAGAAGCCCCGGCUAACUUCGUGCCAGCAGCCGCGGUAAUACGAAGGGGGCUAGCGUUGCUCGGAAUUACUGGGCGUAAAGGGAGCGUAGGCGGAUAGUUUAGUCAGAGGUGAAAGCCCAGGGCUCAACCUUGGAAUUGCCUUUGAUACUGGCUAUCUUGAGUACGGAAGAGGUAUGUGGAACUCCGAGUGUAGAGGUGAAAUUCGUAGAUAUUCGGAAGAACACCAGUGGCGAAGGCGACAUACUGGUCCGUUACUGACGCUGAGGCUCGAAAGCGUGGGGAGCAAACAGGAUUAGAUACCCUAGUAGUCCACGCUGUAAACGAUGAGUGCUAGUUGUCGGCAGGCAUGCCUGUCGGUGACGCAGCUACGCAUAAGACACUCCGCCGUCGGGUAGGUACGGUCGCGAGAGUUAAACGUACGUAAAGGUAAGUAGUUACGGCGUGAGACGUGCGACGGCGACGACGAGGGAGGAGG